UCGUUAUAGAUCACCACGGCGGCCGCCCGCUUCCUCACCGCGUUGGCGAUUUUGUCUUUCAAGCUGCAGCCCCCGUGCGUCACCAAAGCGAUCCAGGACCGAGACACCCCCGCUGCUUUGUCUCUCGACAGGCCGCCGCGGGAAGUUCCGGGCGGCAUAGGGAUUUCGUACUCAACAUCCGAAGCGCAGCCUUCCAUGUGGCGGGCGGUCCCGCCGCGGGGGAUGCCUACCAGGCCUUGCGCGCUCUGCUUGGGCGAGCCUUCCCCAUAACGGCCGCUCUCGGUGCUGCUCCGCAUCGUGCGGUUGGUGCCGGGCUCGGUGUAUACCGUGGUCACCCAAGCCGUGUACCACACCAGAGACCAGGCGACCCGCGGACACCCCACCGCCGCCAGCGCAACCAACAACGGCAGCGUUACGCGACGCACCAAGACCAUGGCUCCCGGACGCACAAGGAUGCCCGCCAGCCCCAAUACCAGCAGACUAAGCGAAUGAACCUUCCUGUACAAAACGCGGUUUUGCAGCCGCACGCAGCAACCUCAAGGUUCCCGCCCCUUUUCCGGGAGGCGGCCCAACUUCCAGGCAGACGAAUGGCUGAGCAGCCGCAGCUUAGAGUGGGACAAAGAGGUCGAGCGGAGGUUGUCCCUCUCUCCCUUCCGCGGCCAGGCCAGGCCACGCCACGCCCCCACGCCGCCCACGCCACGCCCCCACGCCGCCCACGCCGCCCCACCAAGCUGUCUUCUCUUCUUCCCUCAUAGAUACACUCAGUUUGGAGACCACUCCUUCUCUUCCAUUCUUCUGGAGAAAAAAAGAAACCUCCUCCUUAGGCGUAUCGCUUCUGGCCCCCCAGAGAGGAGUAGCCGAAUCAUAGUAUAACCAUGUCUACUCAGAACAAGCCAGGGCACAAACAGAAUAACAGGAGCCAGAGAGGGAGGUCUCAAAAGGAUCAAGUGAAACAUACUCAAUGAACAUAAUAGGAAACAGACAAGUGGACAAGUCAGGAGACAGGAAGGAAGGAGGGAGUGGAGGCAGCAAGCAGCAAGCAGAGAAGGAUGGCUGACUAGGAAAGGGCAGCUGGCCAGAUCCUUUGGUGUAUGCACACGUGAAUCACGCAUGCAUGGCUGAGGGGGCCACUGGAAAACCGGAGAUCCACGUGUU
Molecule: long non-coding RNA, 1155 nt
Organism: Rhineura floridana
Lineage: Eukaryota; Metazoa; Chordata; Lepidosauria; Squamata; Rhineuridae
Exons: 3
Source: RefSeq, a predicted model, not a curated record